UACGUAGGGGGCAAGCGUUGUCCGGAAUCAUUGGGCGUAAAGGGCUCGUAGGCGGUUUGUCACGUCGGGAGUGAAAACUCAGGGCUUAACCCUGAGCGUGCUUCCGAUACGGGCUGACUAGAGGGAUGCAGGGGAGAACGGAAUUCCUGGUGUAGCGGUGGGAAUGCGCAGAUAUCAGGAGGAACACCGGUGGCGAAGGCGGUUCUCUGGGCAUUACCUGACGUGAGGAGCGAAAGUGUGGGGAGCGAACAGG
Molecule: ribosomal RNA, 253 nt
Filed under: uncultured bacterium
Lineage: Bacteria
Description: partial 16S ribosomal RNA
Rfam family: Bacterial small subunit ribosomal RNA
Source: RNAcentral